This 739-nucleotide long non-coding RNA is filed under the name Anser brachyrhynchus (Pink-footed goose). RNAcentral describes it as "lncRNA (ENSABRG00000001093.1)". Lineage: Eukaryota; Metazoa; Chordata; Aves; Anseriformes; Anatidae. The record is from RNAcentral.
UGUGGUGGCAUGAAGGUAGCCACGAGAAGUCAGUGAUUCUUCAGAAGAAUAUUAUUCCAAACUGACCUUGCUUGUUCCUUUGCAGGUAGCCAGCACUGUUCACAUCAUAUUACAACAGGAUGCUUAUGAGCUCAUCAAGGGAAGACUGCAGUGGGUCAUGUGCCUUAUAAAACUGAUGCUGCAGUGCAAACAUACAAAGGAUGUGCCUGGUCUGAUGAGUUGCUGAGAACAGCACGGAGUCCUGCUAUGGCUUGUGGCCUGUUUACUGUCCAUGGAUUCAUGCACCCACCCAUCCCCCCAGCCUCCUGUCCUGCAACAUUUUGAUGUACGUACCCAGAAACUGCUGGUAGGAUGGCAGCCAUAAGCUUCCAAAGCCAGGAGUACUUUUAAGUGACAUUUGUUGGGUGUUAUGAAUCAGACCUCCAGCGGUAACCUUGUGGCCGCAGGGACCUGAGGACAGCAGCAGGCUUCAGCAGGACAAACGGGGAGAGCCACUGGUCCCAUGGCGUGUGGCUGGAGGGCAGCAGGAAGACUGCACAGACCUGCCACGGAGGGGACGCAUCUGGCUCAAUUUCCAUUUAUAUUCAACUACACUGUGGAAAAGACUUUGUGUGUGAAUGUCUCCACGAUACCACUCAGAGAUCGUGACCAACGCAUUCCUUUCCCACUCCUACAUGAGUUGCACCUAGUACACCCUGCUUAUGAAAGAUCAGCACCAAAACAAAGAAUGGCAAAGCAU